UACGGGGGGGGCAAGCGUUGUUCGGAAUUACUGGGCGUAAAGGGCGCGUAGGCGGUUGGAUAAGUCAGCUGUGAAAACCACGGGCUUAACUCGUGGCCUGCAGUUGAGACUGUCUGGCUUGAGUGUGGGAGAGGAGAGUGGAAUUCCUGGUGUAGCGGUGAAAUGCGUAGAUAUCGGGAGGAACACCAAUGGCGAAGGCAGCUCGCUGGGACGGUACUGACGCUGAGACGCGAAAGCGUGGGGAGCAAACAGG
RNAcentral lists this ribosomal RNA (253 nucleotides) under uncultured bacterium. RNAcentral's name for it is "partial 16S ribosomal RNA". It matches the Rfam family "Bacterial small subunit ribosomal RNA", at positions 524 to 776 of the family's 1533-position model. The record is from RNAcentral.